GGAAAAAGCCUAGCAAAGGUCUAAAAACCAAUGGUCCAGGUUGAGAGUCUUGGAUCAGCUGUGCUUAAAGCAAGUUCAGUCAAGUGAGAAUGUAACAAUCAAUCACUCGGCAUAUAGCCACUGAGCACUACUACGUACUGGCAGAGUUCUAGAGCUGGAGGUGCAGCAGUAAGAGGGACGAGGCGUCUGCUUGCAUUGGAGUUGGGGGACAAACAAGAAGCAAGAAAACAAUUGAUCCAAGUAAUUUCCUAUAGUGGCGAGGAGAGAGAUGCACCCCCAACAGGCCUUGAUGACCCACCUGUAACUUUAAUACAGUCCCAUAUUAUGGGUACACGUGUGCCCAGUGUACUCAGCAAAGGUCACAGGUGAACACGGAACCUUCCCACAUGGAUCAGCUUCACAGAGCGUCAUGUUUUAUUGCUGCACCACACACAGCCCAUUUUAUCUUACUUCAAAUACCACAUGUGUAUCCAUUCACCAAUCCUGACCACCAGUUUAAAUUAAGACCUCUGACAAAUAGGUAUGCUGACCAUGACCUGCCAUUGCCACUGGAACGUUUCAGAUCAACUUCCUUGCCUAGGCUUCUCAGAGCCCUGCAUGCUAAGUACCAGGGGCUGGUGGACGGCUCUCCUCAAUCACCUGUCACGCUGGGGAGAAGACUUUCAGCCCGCGAUCUGCUGCCAAUCCGGCCUGCAGCGUCUCUUCACCACCUUGUCAGGAUACACAUCAUCACUUAAUAUUCAGAACCCCUCUUCCAGGAUCCAGCGCCUUUGUAACUGCAGUAUGAAACCCUGGUCAUCAAAUAAAAUAUCUGAA
This is a long non-coding RNA of Tupaia belangeri chinensis (Chinese tree shrew), 816 nucleotides long. RefSeq lists it as uncharacterized. Lineage: Eukaryota; Metazoa; Chordata; Mammalia; Scandentia; Tupaiidae. The record is from RefSeq and is a predicted model, not a curated record. The transcript is spliced from 4 exons.